GCCACUGAGCCUGGUUCGGUGGGACAGGCCCCAAGCCCCAGCCCGCGCCUUUCUGCAGGAGGACUUCCCUUUCCAAGCACGCGCGCUGCCGCCAGAGCCUUCCGGCCGACCCGCCGCGGUGCCCUUCCUAGCGACGGCCUGUGAUGUUCCUUAGCCACGGGGCUUGGCCCAGACCCGCUAGAGGGGGAACGAGGGAGGAAGCCAUCUGGGGAGGAAUCAGAGUUCAGACGAGAAAGGAAAUUGCCCUGAGAUGAUUGAAAUGUGACCUGAAAACAGGACCAGUAACCCCAGAUCAACCGCCAGCCACACCCUGGGCACCAUCUCCCCCAGAAGUCCUUUGGUGCCCCAGGGCCAGCACCUGCUAAGGUUCUCCAGCCCCUCAGUGCUCCCUGGGGAAUAGCAGCUCAUCAGGGGUGCCGUCCAAUCCCCAAUGGGGUUUCCUGUGCGGCUCUGGAGGGCUCUGGUUCCCUCGGUCUCCAGAGAAACAUGUGAGGACAGCGAUGGUUUUGCAGUUUCUGGCGCCGCCCGCAACACAACUCCAGGUUAAUAAGAAGAGAAAGCCUCUCCUUUCACUUUCUUGCCGAAUGCCUUUCCGGGCAAAGAGAAGGGGAGGAAGAGGAAGGCUGGGGAGGGGGAAUUCAUUUCCCAGCAGGGGAUGGGGGCUGUCAGCCCUCGGGGGGCCUGGGUGGGUCUGAGGGAGACACAGAGCCUGGGAGUCCUGCAGGCCUGGCGGAGUGAGCAGGGGGGUGUGGGGGCUGGGAAGGUGGGGAGACAGGAAGGCACUUCAGGGGACCCAGGUGGGCCGAUGCCCUGUGGAUGGAGGGCACUCCGGAGGCCCAGCAAACAGAAAGCCAGAGAUGGACAAUGCUGGGAGGCGGGCGUCUAGGGUGUCAGGAUCUCUAGGCUGCCAGGACGUAGAGGAGCUAUGAGCGGCACAGCCCGCUGGGGUUGGUGGGAGGUGGCUCCGCAGGGGCCUGUCACUUGGGCUUGAGAGAGAUUUGGGUUCCAGACUGCCUUGACUGUGACCUUGCCCUGGGGGUCAGUGCCUCAUCCGAGAGAUGGACUGACUCCCCCUGCUCUGCGCUCGUCACCUGCUGGGAGGCUCAGGUGAG
RNAcentral lists this long non-coding RNA (1112 nucleotides) under Homo sapiens (human). Its description in RNAcentral is "HSALNT0156562". Lineage: Eukaryota; Metazoa; Chordata; Mammalia; Primates; Hominidae. The record is from RNAcentral.